This is a small nucleolar RNA of Mya arenaria, 85 nucleotides long. RefSeq annotates it as small nucleolar RNA snR60/Z15/Z230/Z193/J17. The transcript has a single exon. The record is from RefSeq and is a predicted model, not a curated record. NCBI's taxonomy places the organism in Eukaryota, Metazoa, Mollusca, Bivalvia, Myida, Myidae.
GAACUGUAAAUGAUGAUACCAUAGUUCAGCUGAGAACAAUGAUGUGAAUAGCUCAGUUGUCUUUCGCUCCUAUCUGAAACAGUUC